AACGAACGCUGGCGGCAUGCCUAACACAUGCAAGUCGAACGAGACCUUCGGGUCUAGUGGCGCACGGGUGCGUAACGCGUGGGAAUCUGCCCUUGGGUUCGGAAUAACUCAGAGAAAUUUGAGCUAAUACCGGAUGAUGACGAAAGUCCAAAGAUUUAUCGCCCAGGGAUGAGCCCGCGUAAGAUUAGCUUGUUGGUGGGGUAAUGGCCUACCAAGGCGACGAUCUUUAGCUGGUCUGAGAGGAUGAUCAGCCACACUGGGACUGAGACACGGCCCAGACUCCUACGGGAGGCAGCAGUGGGGAGUAUUGGACAAUGGGCGCAAGCCUGAUCCAGCAAUGCCGCGUGAGUGAUGAAGGCCUUAGGGUUGUAAAGCUCUUUUACCAGGGAUGAUAAUGACAGUACCUGGAGAAUAAGCUCCGGCUAACUCCGUGCCAGCAGCCGCGGUAAAGUACAGUGU
This 459-nucleotide ribosomal RNA is filed under the name uncultured bacterium. RNAcentral's name for it is "bacterial SSU rRNA". It matches the Rfam family "Bacterial small subunit ribosomal RNA", at positions 29 to 533 of the family's 1533-position model. The record is from RNAcentral.